This 495-nucleotide ribosomal RNA is filed under the name uncultured bacterium. Its description in RNAcentral is "partial 16S ribosomal RNA". It matches the Rfam family "Bacterial small subunit ribosomal RNA", at positions 28 to 507 of the family's 1533-position model. The record is from RNAcentral.
GACGAACGCUGGCGGCGUGCCUAAUACAUGCAAGUCGAACGCUGAAGGAGGAGCUUGCUUCUCCGGAUGAGUUGCGAACGGGUGAGUAACGCGUAGGUAACCUGCCUGGUAGCGGGGGAUAACUAUUGGAAACGAUAGCUAAUACCGCAUAACAGUAGAUGUUGCAUGACAUUUGCUUAAAAGGUGCAAUUGCAUCACUACCAGAUGGACCUGCGUUGUAUUAGCUAGUUGGUGAGGUAACGGCUCACCACGGCGACGAUACAUAGCCGACCUGAGAGGGGGAGCGGCCACACUGGGACUGAGACACGGCCCAGACUCCUACGGGAGGCAGCAGUAGGGAAUCUUCGGCAAUGGACGGAAGUCUGACCGAGCAACGCCGCGUGAGUGAAGAAGGGUUUCGGGUCGUAAAGCUCGGUUGUAAGAGAAGAACGAGUGUGAGAGUGGAAAGUUCACACUGUGACGGUAGCUUAGCAGAAAGGGACGGCUAACUACGUG